UGCAGCCAUGUCAAAUUCAGUACGGCCUCUACUGUGGCUCAUACUGGCCAAAAUGGCUGCCACAGGGAAAUGGUAGUUCAUGGGCCCCACGUCUAAUGCUCAUGGUUGUUGGGGAUAAAUUUGUGCUACAGACAAUU
Molecule: small nucleolar RNA, 137 nt
Organism: Megalops cyprinoides (Indo-Pacific tarpon)
Lineage: Eukaryota; Metazoa; Chordata; Actinopteri; Elopiformes; Megalopidae
Product: small nucleolar RNA SNORA5
Exons: 1
Source: RefSeq, a predicted model, not a curated record